This 495-nucleotide ribosomal RNA is filed under the name uncultured bacterium. Its description in RNAcentral is "SSU rRNA". It matches the Rfam family "Bacterial small subunit ribosomal RNA", at positions 26 to 518 of the family's 1533-position model. The record is from RNAcentral.
AGAUUGAACGCUGGCGGCGUGCUUAACACAUGCAAGUCGAGCGGUAACGCGGGAGCAAUCCUGGCGACGAGCGGCGAACGGGUGAGUAAUGCUUGGGAAUCUGCCCAUUAGUGGGGAACAACCAGCCGAAAGGUUGGCUAAUACCGCAUACGCCCUACGGGGGAAAGCGGGGGAUCGAAAGACCUCGCGCUAAUGGAUGAGCCCAAGUCGGAUUAGCUUGUUGGUAGGGUAACGGCCUACCAAGGCGACAAUCCGUAGCUGGUCUGAGAGGACGACCAGCCACACUGGGACUGAGACACGGCCCAGACUCCUACGGGAGGCAGCAGUGGGGAAUAUUGGACAAUGGGGGCAACCCUGAUCCAGCGACGCCGCGUGUGUGAAGAAGGCCUGCGGGUUGUAAAGCACUUUUAGUGGGGAUGAAAAGCUCAGGGUUAACACCUCUGGGUCUUGACCUAACCACAGAAAAGCACCGGCUAACUCUGUGCCAGCAGCCGC